RNAcentral lists this unclassified non-coding RNA (243 nucleotides) under Hevea brasiliensis (rubber tree). Lineage: Eukaryota; Viridiplantae; Streptophyta; Magnoliopsida; Malpighiales; Euphorbiaceae. The record is from RNAcentral.
GCCAGUUCGUUUUGUUCCUCUCUCUUUCUCUCGCCUAAUUUGAUCUUGCAUUUCUCCUUCUAUUUACUUGUUUCUCAAACACCUAAUCUACUUCCGUCAUCACUAAGCAGCUAUCUAUCUGCAAUUUGUUGUAUUUUUGGAUCCAUCGACAUGUCGUUAUCGGAUUCCGACUCCUCAUCUUAUGGUGCCGAGCACAAGAAUUUUAGACAAAUCAGCCGUGAACGUUUAUUACAUGAAAUGCUU